AUGUAAAGGCCUACAACAUAGUGUUAAUGCACCGUAUCCCAUUAGAAAUCCACAGUUAAGCGCGCUCAGGCUAUAGUAGUACUGGGAUGGGUGAUCGCCUGGGAAGUCUUAGUAUUUUACAUG
Non-coding RNA from Picea glauca (white spruce), 123 nucleotides. Lineage: Eukaryota; Viridiplantae; Streptophyta; Pinopsida; Pinales; Pinaceae. The record is from Rfam.